GCCCUCGUAGCCCAACGGCAGAGGCGCCGUCUUGAGGAGGCGGUCAUGUGCGCGUUCGACUCGCGCCGAGGGCAC
RNAcentral lists this transfer RNA (75 nucleotides) under Phytohabitans flavus. Its description in RNAcentral is "tRNA-Leu". It matches the Rfam family "tRNA". From Rfam's summary of the family: Transfer RNA (tRNA) molecules are approximately 80 nucleotides in length. Their secondary structure includes four short double-helical elements and three loops (D, anti-codon, and T loops). Lineage: Bacteria; Bacillati; Actinomycetota; Actinomycetes; Micromonosporales; Micromonosporaceae. The record is from RNAcentral.